This 460-nucleotide ribosomal RNA is filed under the name uncultured bacterium. RNAcentral describes it as "partial 16S ribosomal RNA". It matches the Rfam family "Bacterial small subunit ribosomal RNA", at positions 338 to 795 of the family's 1533-position model. The record is from RNAcentral.
CCUACGGGAGGCAGCAGUGAGGAAUAUUGGUCAAUGGACGGGAGUCUGAACCAGCCAAGUAGCGUGAAGGAUGACUGCCCUAUGGGUUGUAAACUUCUUUUAUAAAGGAAUAAAACGCGCCACGUGUGGCUUUUUGCAUGUACUUUAUGAAUAAGGAUCGGCUAAAUCCGUGCCAGCAGCCGCGGUAAUACGGAGGAUCCGAGCGUUAUCCGGAUUUAUUGGGUUUAAAGGGAGCGUAGACGGGUUGUUAAGUCAGUUGUUAAAGUUUGCGGCUCAACCGUAAAAGUGCAAUUGAAACUGGCAGUCUUGAGUACAGUUGAGGUAGACGGAAUUCGUGGUGUAGCGGUGAAAUGCUUAGAUAUCACGAAGAACCCCGAUUGCGAAGGCAGUUUACUAAACUGUGACUGACAUUGAGGCUCGAAAGUGCGGGUAUCAAACAGGAUUAGAUACCCGGGUAGUC